This 629-nucleotide ribosomal RNA is filed under the name uncultured bacterium. Its description in RNAcentral is "bacterial SSU rRNA". It matches the Rfam family "Bacterial small subunit ribosomal RNA", at positions 232 to 872 of the family's 1533-position model. The record is from RNAcentral.
CGCGGCCUAUCAGCUUGUUGGUGGGGUAAUGGCCUACCAAGGCGACGACGGGUAGCCGACCUGAGAGGGUGACCGGCCACACUGGGACUGAGACACGGCCCAGACUCCUACGGGAGGCAGCAGUGGGGAAUAUUGCACAAUGGGCGAAAGCCUGAUGCAGCGACGCCGCGUGAGGGAUGACGGCCUUCGGGUUGUAAACCUCUUUCAGCAGGGACGAAGCGCAAGUGACGGUACCUGCAGAAGAAGCACCGGCUAACUACGUGCCAGCAGCCGCGGUAAUACGUAGGGUGCAAGCGUUGUCCGGAAUUACUGGGCGUAAAGAGUUCGUAGGCGGUUUGUCGCGUCGUUUGUGAAAACCAGCAGCUCAACUGCUGGCUUGCAGGCGAUACGGGCAGACUUGAGUACUGCAGGGGAGACUGGAAUUCCUGGUGUAGUGGUGAAAUGCGCAGAUAUCAGGAGGAACACCGGUGGCGAAGGCGGGUCUCUGGGCAGUAACUGACGCUGAGGAACGAAAGCGUGGGUAGCGAACAGGAUUAGAUACCCUGGUAGUCCACGCCGUAAACGGUGGGCGCUAGGUGUGGGUUCCUUCCACGGAAUCCGUGCCGUAGCUAACGCAUUAAGCGCCCCGC